AGCUUUGCGCAGUGGCAGUAUCGUAGCCAAUGAGGUUUAUCCGAGGCGCGAUUAUUGCUAAUUGAAAAAAAAAAAAAGAAAGAUAUAUGCUGGAGAGAUGUGGAGAAACGGGAACCCUCUUGCACUGUUGGUGGGAAUGCAAACUGGUGUAGCCACUCUGGAAAACAGUGUGGAAAUUCCUCAAAAAAUUAAAAAUA
Molecule: small nuclear RNA, 197 nt
Filed under: Lynx canadensis (Canada lynx)
Lineage: Eukaryota; Metazoa; Chordata; Mammalia; Carnivora; Felidae
Description: U4 spliceosomal RNA (ENSLCNG00005004112.1)
Rfam family: U4 spliceosomal RNA (bases 1-80)
Source: RNAcentral